ACAACUGAUAUCUCGUGCGCUGAAGCACAGCGUGAGCUAAGGGCAAUUUCAGAAACUGUCACAGACCCAGAUCGAAUUGAUCUUUCAAGAAUGAACAUGCUGCUGCGUGCAACCAUUCAAAUACGGCAGCAAAAUCCAGUUGAGGAGCUCCCUGUAUACCUUCUGAAUGCAGCUGUGGACCAGCAUGAUACCAGCAAGCUUCUUCUAGGGCCGUGUGUUAUCAUGGAACCUGGAUCAGAAAGAAUUGUAUGCAAGAAACAGACUGUGCGCCUUGUGCCUGGAUGUUCCGUUGAACGUGGACUGAUUCUGUGUUUGACUUUUUGUUUCAUACUUGAUCUCGUAUCCGCAUGCGUU
This is a long non-coding RNA of Rhipicephalus sanguineus (brown dog tick), 354 nucleotides long. RefSeq lists it as uncharacterized. The record is from RefSeq and is a predicted model, not a curated record. The transcript has 3 exons. Lineage: Eukaryota; Metazoa; Arthropoda; Arachnida; Ixodida; Ixodidae.